RNAcentral lists this ribosomal RNA (420 nucleotides) under bacterium. RNAcentral describes it as "partial 16S ribosomal RNA". It matches the Rfam family "Bacterial small subunit ribosomal RNA", at positions 355 to 776 of the family's 1533-position model. The record is from RNAcentral.
UGGGGGAUAUUGCACAAUGGGCGAAAGCCUGAUGCAGCGACGCCGCGUGGGGGAUGAAGGCUUUCGGGUUGUAAACCUCUUUCGCUAUCGAACAAGGCCCGCUUAGGGUGGGUUGAGGGUAGGUGGAGAAGAAGCGCCGGCUAACUACGUGCCAGCAGCCGCGGUAAUACGUAGGGCGCGAGCGUUGUACGGCAUUAUUGGGCGUAACGGGCUUGUAGGCGGCUUGUUGCGCCUGCUGUGAAAACGCGGGGCUUAACUUCGCGCGUGCAGUGGGUACGGGCAGGCUUGAGUGUGGUAGGGGUGACUGGAAUUCCAGGUGUAGCGGUGGAAUGCGCAGAUAUCUGGAGGAACACCGAUGGCGAAGGCAGGUCACUGGGCCAUUACUGACGCUGAGGAGCGAAAGCAUGGGUAGCGAACAGG